RNAcentral lists this ribosomal RNA (301 nucleotides) under uncultured bacterium. RNAcentral's name for it is "partial 16S ribosomal RNA". It matches the Rfam family "Bacterial small subunit ribosomal RNA", at positions 509 to 807 of the family's 1533-position model. The record is from RNAcentral.
CAGUCGCCGCGGUAAUACGGAGGGGGCUAGCGUUGUUCGGAUUUACUGGGCGUAAAGCGCACGUAGGCGGAUCGAUCAGUCAGGGGUGAAAUCCCAGAGCUCAACUCUGGAACUGCCUCUGAUACUGUCGAUCUGGAGUAUGGAAGAGGUGAGUGGAAUUCCGAGUGUAGAGGUGAAAUUCGUAGAUAUUCGGAGGAACACCAGUGGCGAAGGCGGCUCACUGGUCCAUUACUGACGCUGAGGUGCGAAAGCGUGGGGAGCAAACAGGAUUAGAUACCCCAGUAGUCCCUGUCUCUUAUAC